RNAcentral lists this ribosomal RNA (269 nucleotides) under uncultured bacterium. RNAcentral describes it as "partial 16S ribosomal RNA". It matches the Rfam family "Bacterial small subunit ribosomal RNA", at positions 355 to 616 of the family's 1533-position model. The record is from RNAcentral.
UGGGGAAUAUUGCACAAUGGGCGCAAGCCUGAUGCAGCCAUGCCGCGUGUGUGAAGAAGGCCUUCGGGUUGUAAAGCACUUUCAGCGAGGAGGAAGGGUAGUGUGUUAAUAGCACAUUGCAUUGACGUUACUCGCAGAAGAAGCACCGGCUAACUCCGUGCCAGCAGCCGCGGUAAUACGGAGGGUGCAAGCGUUAAUCGGAAUUACUGGGCGUAAAGCGCACGCAGGCGGUUUGUUAAGUCAGAUGUGAAAUCCCCGCGCUUAACGUG